This 208-nucleotide ribosomal RNA is filed under the name uncultured bacterium. RNAcentral's name for it is "partial 16S ribosomal RNA". It matches the Rfam family "Bacterial small subunit ribosomal RNA", at positions 1294 to 1500 of the family's 1533-position model. The record is from RNAcentral.
CAGAUUGCAGGCUGCAACUCGCCUGCAUGAAGUCGGAAUUGCUAGUAAUCGUGGAUCAGCAUGCCACGGUGAAUACGUUCCCGGGCCUUGUACACACCGCCCGUCACACCAUGGGAGUCGGUAACACCCGAAGCCUGUAGUCUAACCGCAAGGAGGACGCAGUCGAAGGUGGGAUUGAUGACUGGGGGUGAAGUCGUAACAAGGUAAC